This 1358-nucleotide ribosomal RNA is filed under the name uncultured bacterium. Its description in RNAcentral is "bacterial SSU rRNA". It matches the Rfam family "Bacterial small subunit ribosomal RNA", at positions 28 to 1381 of the family's 1533-position model. The record is from RNAcentral.
AUUGAACGCUGGCGGCAGGCUUAACACAUGCAAGUCGAGCGGGGGAAGGUAGCUUGCUACCUAACCUAGCGGCGGACGGGUGAGUAAUGCUUAGGAAUCUGCCUAUUAGUGGGGGACAACAUUCCGAAAGGAAUGCUAAUACCGCAUACGUCCUACGGGAGAAAGCAGGGGAUCUUCGGACCUUGCGCUAAUAGAUGAGCCUAAGUCGGAUUAGCUAGUUGGUGGGGUAAAGGCCUACCAAGGCGACGAUCUGUAGCGGGUCUGAGAGGAUGAUCCGCCACACUGGGACUGAGACACGGCCCAGACUCCUACGGGAGGCAGCAGUGGGGAAUAUUGGACAAUGGGCGGAAGCCUGAUCCAGCCAUGCCGCGUGUGUGAAGAAGGCCUUUUGGUUGUAAAGCACUUUAAGCGAGGAGGAGGCUACUCUAGUUAAUACCUAGAGAUAGUGGACGUUACUCGCAGAAUAAGCACCGGCUAACUCUGUGCCAGCAGCCGCGGUAAUACAGAGGGUGCGAGCGUUAAUCGGAUUUACUGGGCGUAAAGCGUGCGUAGGCGGCUGAUUAAGUCGGAUGUGAAAUCCCUGAGUUUAACUUAGGAAUUGCAUUCGAUACUGGUCAGCUAGAGUAUGGGAGAGGAUGGUAGAAUUCCAGGUGUAGCGGUGAAAUGCGUAGAGAUCUGGAGGAAUACCGAUGGCGAAGGCAGCCAUCUGGCCUAAUACUGACGCUGAGGUACGAAAGCAUGGGGAGCAAACAGGAUUAGAUACCCUGGUAGUCCAUGCCGUAAACGAUGUCUACUAGCCGUUGGGGCCUUUGAGGCUUUAGUGGCGCAGCUAACGCGAUAAGUAGACCGCCUGGGGAGUACGGUCGCAAGACUAAAACUCAAAUGAAUUGACGGGGGCCCGCACAAGCGGUGGAGCAUGUGGUUUAAUUCGAUGCAACGCGAAGAACCUUACCUGGUCUUGACAUAGUAAGAACUUUCCAGAGAUGGAUUGGUGCCUUCGGGAACUUACAUACAGGUGCUGCAUGGCUGUCGUCAGCCCGUGUCGUGAGAUGUUGGGUUAAGUCCCGCAACGAGCGCAACCCUUUUCCUUACUUGCCAGCAUUUCGGAUGGGAACUUUAAGGAUACUGCCAGUGACAAACUGGAGGAAGGCGGGGACGACGUCAAGUCAUCAUGGCCCUUACGACCAGGGCUACACACGUGCUACAAUGGUCGGUACAAAGGGUUGCUACCUAGCGAUAGGAUGCUAAUCUCAAAAAGCCGAUCGUAGUCCGGAUUGGAGUCUGCAACUCGACUCCAUGAAGUCGGAAUCGCUAGUAAUCGCGGAUCAGAAUGCCGCGGUGAAUACGUUCCCGGGCCU